GGUCUUGGAUUUUUCUAGUGGAAGUCAAAAUUGGAUCUGAUGUUGCAUUGCAGUGACAAAAAAUAUUUGUGGGUUUUUGGGUUUAAAGAAGCAUUGGGUGGGUUUUGCUUACAUAAGAUCUGAGGUUGCUGAUUGAGUUUAGGUGCCAUGAGAGCUGAGGAAUCUAAAGCAGGAGAUUAUGGAAGCUACGCGUUUUUUGUUUUAGCCAGUUAUCAGAUUACAAUCU
This 226-nucleotide unclassified non-coding RNA is filed under the name Hevea brasiliensis (rubber tree). Lineage: Eukaryota; Viridiplantae; Streptophyta; Magnoliopsida; Malpighiales; Euphorbiaceae. The record is from RNAcentral.